Molecule: small RNA, 80 nt
Filed under: Salmonella enterica subsp. enterica serovar Muenchen
Lineage: Bacteria; Pseudomonadati; Pseudomonadota; Gammaproteobacteria; Enterobacterales; Enterobacteriaceae
Also listed under: 3 other names
Description: partial RtT sRNA
Rfam family: RtT RNA
About the family: This family represents a bacterial cis-regulatory element known as RtT RNA.
Source: RNAcentral
AAUAAAGCGUGAAGGAUAACGUUGCGUCAGCAACGGCCCGUAGGGCGAGGCGAAGCCGAGUCAUCCUGCACAACCCACCA